GACGAACGCUGGCGGCGUGCUUAACACAUGCAAGUCGAACGGAAAGGCCCUGCUUUUGUGGGGUUCUCGAGUGGCGAACGGGUGUGUAACACGUGAGUAACCUGCCCUUGACUUUGUGAUAACUUCAGGAAACUGGGGCUAAUACCGGAUAGGAGCUCCUGCUGCAUGGUGGGGGUUGGAAAGUUUCGGCUGUUGUGGCUGGACUCGCGGCUUAUGAGCUUGUUGGUGGGGUAGUUGCUUACCAAGGCUUUGACGGGUAGCCGGCAUGGGAGGGUAGACAGGGACAUGAGGACUACGGGAGGGAGCAGACGCGAACGGGAGGCAACGGGCGGAAAUAUGACACAGUGAGGGGGAGUGUGAGACGAAGACCUUCGGAGCGGAAAGACCUGUUAGGGGUGAAGAACCGCUGUCGCCUGAGACGUAGCGGGAGUGACGGUAAUGAGUAAAGAAGCACCGGCUAACUACGUG
Molecule: ribosomal RNA, 468 nt
Filed under: uncultured bacterium
Lineage: Bacteria
Description: partial 16S ribosomal RNA
Rfam family: Bacterial small subunit ribosomal RNA
Source: RNAcentral